This 77-nucleotide transfer RNA is filed under the name candidate division WS6 bacterium RIFOXYB1_FULL_33_14. RNAcentral's name for it is "tRNA-Val". It matches the Rfam family "tRNA". From Rfam's summary of the family: Transfer RNA (tRNA) molecules are approximately 80 nucleotides in length. Their secondary structure includes four short double-helical elements and three loops (D, anti-codon, and T loops). RNAcentral also lists the same sequence under 2 other names. The record is from RNAcentral.
GGGCGAUUAGCUCAGCUGGUUAGAGCAUCACAUUGACAUUGUGGAGGUCACAGGUUCGAGUCCCGUAUCGCCCACCA